GUGUCCAUUCGUUACGCUUCAUUUCGUUACCCCAAGUAAGGUCACACAGGGCUGGCUGACCCUGGCACUGAGCCUUACAAAAAUGGCGUCUGGAUACAGGGACAUAUGCCUUGUAACCCCAAUUCCUUUGCUGGUCAUAGGAUGACGAAGAGUUAAUGGCCUCUGCGGCGAGACUGCAGCUCGGGUCGGCAGGGGAUCGAACAGAGAUAAGAGUGCCCCAUUGGUGGACCUACUCUGUUCCCCAACUUUGUCUCUCUUUUUCUUUCGCUUUUUAGUUUAUCUUUUAGCAGUAAUGGGUAAUUCAAUUCCUGUCCUUUUAAAGGACAAAGAUUGGCAAAGAGUUCCAAAAUUUCCUAUGAAUGGGUUAACUCCCCUGUUAACACUGGGGAGGAUUGGGGAGGAUAGUUUGUGUCUCUCGAGAAAACGUUCAUUAUCCCUCUUUGAUAAUGUUCCAAUCUUUCUUCUUGCGACUUCUCGGACAGCUCUAAGCUGUCCCCCGAUAGUUCUAAACUGUCCCCUAUUAGGGACCCCCUUCCCCCAGUUCUUUUAUUGGAACCCCCCUUCAGUUCUCUUUGGAGAACCCCCGACGCUGUGCGCUGGUCAUGCAAAGUUUCGAUGCUACAGAGAUCCCCUCGGUGAUGGGCCCCCAAAGGAGUGAAAAAGAGAAAAAUUCAGAGCAGAAAAAGAGAGAUUUUUACUCCACAAUUAGAGGCUAUUUUUCAUUUAAGAUUAAUGAUUUAACGUAUGCAAUUUGGAAGGAUUGUUAAUGAUUUUGAUAUGAUACAAAUAUAAUUUUGUGUAUUAUAGUAACUAUUUGUCAUGUUAAUAAGGUUUACCAGAUUUUAUUGAGCACAACAAAACUCAUGGUUAGAAGUUUAUUUUGUUAAAUCUUCCUAUGCAUAAUGGUUUCAGUGAAUUUGAGAAUUUUCUAAAUGUGGCUGAUAGCCAGACUGAUACAGAGAGGGAAUAUUUUAUUUUAUAAGGACAAAAAUUGCACUGGUCAAUUUAUAGAUGUAAAAGUCAUCCAGAAAAGUUGUUAUGUUGUUGAGAAGAACUUAUUCUAGAAAUUAAAUUUGGGAUUUUUUCAAAUCAGAUUUAUUUUCAUGCAUGUGCUGUCAGGAGUAGUAACAAGAAAUUAUAUGACACACAAGAAGUUUAAGUGAUUAAUCUGUUCAUGGGAUUUAAUAAUAUUAGUACUAGGAAUUUGUUAUUUUGCAAGAGAAAAUUUCUAAACAUUGUUGUCUUUGAUUAAGGUUAUAUGAAUUGCUUUUAAAAUGUGUACAAUGUAUAGGAAGUAAUUUAAGGGUAUAUGAUAUGCAAACUACAGCCUUGAAAUCAAAAAGGGCUUGUCAUAAGGAUUAAAUACAAUUCAGGAUAGUACCUUUCCUCUACUUACAAUAAUGGUAAAGAGGAGAAGCCAGAAGAAAUAAUAGUAAUGGACAGAGAUACUAGUUGAUAUUGUGAAUUCUAGUGUAAAAUAUAUACAACAAAUUAUAAAUUGGAAUUUAACCAGGUAUGUAGCAAUAUUUUGAGCUAAAAGAAAACUAAACUGUAGUUUUUAUUCUACUUUAGACGGAAAUUUGAGAGGAAUGCACGUAAAAAUGCUUUGUACUUCAGUUUGGUUAAACACUGAAACAUUGCAAAAGGACUUAAUCAAAGUUAUUUGGGAGUUGUGGAAUUCAAACUAAAAUCCACUGAGAGUAAAUUAUUAUGAAAGAGGUUUAAGAAAUUCAAUAUUUUAAAUUGUAGUGAGCUCACUUGUUAGAGAAGGAUGGGACAAGGCUUUUAGGUAAUAAAUCUAAACUGAGCCAAGCAGCCUUGGGAUAAAACUUUCUAAGAAGCUAUUAACCCCUUCCUUGCACACAAGAAGGAGAAAGAAGUGCUUAUAAUUAUUCUACUCUGAUACUUAAGAACUGAAAUAGGGACCUCAAAGAGUCAACAACUACUGUGUGAUAUAACUUAAGAUGAGUAUAUUUUAAUUGUAGAAAUUGAGGUUUUAAGACGCUCAAACAAACAAACUUUGCCAGCCUUGUCUGACCGAGUAGCUUGUUUGAAGCUGUGGAAUUUUAAUGCAAACAUUCCAUGUCCAGAAUGAUAAGAUUAUUCAGCCAACAAUAUGUAGCGUCAGCCCUUCAUUAAGACUACAUUUUCCUGCUCUGCACAUCAUCCAUUAUUUAGAUUAUAUUUUUAUUGUGGCUGAAGAUGAAUCCCAAAUAAGCAAAUGUUAUAGUUAAUUGGAAAUUACCUUGCAAAAAUACCAUUUAGUCAUUGCUCAAGAAAAAAUUCAAAAAACAAGUCCCGUACUCUAUUCAGGGGCUCAGUUAUAUGCAACAUCUGUUAUGCCUCAAAAAUAUAAUUAAGAAAGGACUGCUUUAAUACCUUAAUGAUUAUCAGAAAUUGUUAGGUGAUAUCAAUUGGGUUAGGCAAUAUUCAUUUCUUACUACAACUGAAUUACAACUGUUAUUCAAAAUACUGGGAGUUCUGAUUUGAAUUUCCCUGGAACUUUGAUACCUGAGGCCUUUCUUGCUUUAAAGAUAAUAGAAGACAAAUUGAAUCAGGCUCCUCCACUUAACCACUAUCAGCCUCAAUUAGCCCUGGAAGUGACUAUUUUUGCAACUUUAAUGUUACCAACAGGUGCCUGAACUGAGAAACAAAAAGUCAUUGAAUGGUUAAAUCUAAAAGCAAAAUGGGAAAGGCAUAGAAUAUGUGAUCUCAGGUUUAGGAUAGUAUCUUCAUGAAAUCUGGGUACCUAUUGCUAAAGAUAUAAUACAGAAAUAUUUACAAAAUCAUGACGAAUGGUCUAUACUAUUAGUGUACCUUAUUGCUAUUACCACCUACACUCCACAAGGCUUAUUUUCUUAUUUGUCACAACAUCCUAUUGUUUUUCCUCAUAUUCUAAGAGAUCGUCCUGUAUCAGGACCUAAUGUUUUUGUUGAUGCAAAUGCUAAUUACAAGGCAGGAGUAUACAAGGAAAGUAGCUCACCUGUCAUUUUUACCCUCCCUAAAACAGAUAAUGGACCUGCUUACACUUCCAAACAAUUUUUUCUUUUUUGCCAACAAGAACAAACUAUUGUGGAGCACAGUAAUCAGAUCUUAAAAAAAAUAUUUCUUUUAAAACAAAAAGGGGGAGACAGCGCCCCACAUCGAUGAUUGGCAAUAGCUGUAUAUACUAUAAAUAAUUUGAUUUUUACUUCCAAUAAUUUAUCCAGAGCUGAAAAAUUUUUUCUCUUCAUUUUCUUAUGUACAAAAUUCAGGUACCACUCCUGUGCUCUCUGACCCAGAACAAAAAUGUGGCAUGUGGAAAGAUGAUAAUCAAACUUGGCAAGGACCACCCAAUGGUCCUGCAAGGCCGGGGUUUUGUUUGUGUCUCCACAGGUAAAGACGGAGUAUGGCUCCCUCCCCGCUGAGUUUGAGAAAUUGACCACAAAGAGAAGAACAAGGGGAGGGCGCAAGAAGCCUCGCAAGGAGACUUGACAACAUCUCCAUAAGAUACUGACUCUUCUGCUUCUAUUCCAGAAUUUAAGUACAGCUAUUGGAAUAAAGAGAUGGUUUUUUUGGGAACAACCACCUUGGGUAGAGUAUGUCAGCAUGGGACAUGCUUUCCUGGAAGUCAUCUUAUAUACAAAAACUAACUGAUAUUCCUGGCAUUUAUCAUUUUGAGAGACAAGCUAAGGACAACAAUUUGUGCCUUUCAAUUGGAACUGGAAUAGAUGAGCCACCCCCAGUGUGCCUCGCAAGAGACCAUCCUGCAUGCCUGCCCCUCAGAUCUCUGCAGGUGCAUUAUUAUGGUCAUCCUGACCUGUCAGACUCUUUCUGGAUAGGACCUUAUCGUGUAAACAAAGGGGUAAAAUAUGAAGGUUACAGCCAACUGCAAUAUCUAGGUUGGCUAGGGGAAUCUUGUGAUUGUAUUUGGGGACAAGAAAGACCUAUUUGUCUAUAUGUGAUGGGAUAUGAACAAAGAGACACUGUUAAUAUGUUUCUGCUCUUGCUGUCAUGUAGAUCUAAAAGGACAUCAUGUAUUCAUUGGAAAAAUAUGAUUUGGGUAUCUUGGCAUAACGACACAAGGUGUAUUGGAAAGAAACUGGAUUCUUAUAAAUUUCAUGAUUGUUUCAUAGGAGGAUACAGCUUGCUUUUGGGGGCGAUGCCCCAGAACUAAUUGGGUGCAUUCUGCUAAUUUCACACAGAUUUUGACUGAUUUUGGAAAGAUAGCCCUGGCAUUGGAUAAAGUAAAUAUGUCUCAUUAUGUUAAUGUUACUUAUAAUGAAAAAACCAGUAAAUAGAAGUGUUACAUUAGACACUCAAGCUAGACACUCAGGGGGAUGGUAUCACUCACCAGCAGAUGGAGCAAUGGAAAAAUUAUCUCAGUUAAUUAGCUCUAAGGAAAAGAGAUGUAUUUCUUGCAUAGUUUUAGGUAUUGUAGCCUUGAUAGCCGCCCUUACUGCUACAACUGUCAGUAGUGUUUCUAUAGCACAAAGUGUAGCUAAUGUUCGUGUCCUGGAACAUGAUGCAGAAUAUUUACACGGGCUUGCAGAGAAUGUAAGCAAAGCUUUGCAUAUACAGCAGGAUAUUAAUACAAGGGUUUUUUAUGCUUUACAACAAAUAUCUAAAUAGGCAUUGUUAUUAAUUAAUCAAGUAGAAAUUGUAGCUAAAAAGGCAAUAUCUCUGAAAACAUCCAACAAUUGAACCGUAUUAUUGAAGAAAUGGAUAGUUCCACAGUUGAGGAUCUUUAUCCUGACCAUAUUGCUGAUUCUAUAUACAACUGGAUUAAAUCAGGCCAAAGUUGGCUGUCUCCUUUAGCUCAAAUGAGUAUAACCAUAUUGACUUUCAUACUGUUUGUAGUUAUCUUACUGGUCCUUCUUCCCUGACUAUUCCGGCUCCUUGUGUCCAACAUGGGUAGGAUUGGACAAGUUCUGACCCAUCACCGAGUACUGUUGCAAAAUAAAAAGGGGGAAUUGUAGUCGAGGCAUUGCCAUAAAGGCAGAGCCAUAAUGGUUAAAGCUUCCUCUUCUCCCUGCUUGGGCUGCAUAGUCAAGGUCAUGGGUUGAACUGUGUACGACCUGCCCAGCUGCAUGCUCAAGGUUGGAAUAGUCAGCAGAGGGAGGAUUGAUAAGGUUUGUGAGAAAUUGUGAGAGACUGUGGGAAACUUGUUUUUCUGCCUUUGUUGGGAAUCUUCUUGGUUCUUCUUUGUGCCUGGCAGGUAAUGUCAUGAAUUCCUAUGAAUCUGCCCAAUUAUUGGUUCCUGCUGUUGCUGGGUGGUAAUAUCAUAUCUUCCUGUGUGUCAACCUAUAUAUGCUUUGUGUGAACCCAAUAAAGCUUUGUCACUAUGCA
Molecule: long non-coding RNA, 5328 nt
Organism: Monodelphis domestica (gray short-tailed opossum)
Lineage: Eukaryota; Metazoa; Chordata; Mammalia; Didelphimorphia; Didelphidae
Source: RefSeq, a predicted model, not a curated record